GAUGAACGCUGGCGGCGUGCCUAAUACAUGCAAGUCGAGCGAACGGACGAGAAGCUUGCUUCUCUGAUGUUAGCGGCGGACGGGUGAGUAACACGUGGAUAACCUACCUAUAAGACUGGGAUAACUUCGGGAAACCGGAGCUAAUACCGGAUAAUAUUUUGAACCGCAUGGUUCAAAAGUGAAAGACGGUCUUGCUGUCACUUAUAGAUGGAUCCGCGCUGCAUUAGCUAGUUGGUAAGGUAACGGCUUACCAAGGCAACGAUGCAUAGCCGACCUGAGAGGGUGGUCGGCCACACUGGAACUGAGACACGGUCCAGACUCCUACGGGGGGCAGCAGUAGGGAAUCUUCCGCAAUGGGCGAAAGCCUGACGGAGCAACGCCGCGUGAGUGAUGAAGGUCUUCGGAUCGUAAAACUCUGUUAUUAGGGAAGAACAUAUGUGUAAGUACCUGUGCACAUCUUGACGGUACCUAAUCAGAAAGCCACGGCUAACUACGUG
RNAcentral lists this ribosomal RNA (497 nucleotides) under uncultured bacterium. Its description in RNAcentral is "partial 16S ribosomal RNA". It matches the Rfam family "Bacterial small subunit ribosomal RNA", at positions 28 to 507 of the family's 1533-position model. The record is from RNAcentral.